Molecule: ribosomal RNA, 253 nt
Filed under: uncultured bacterium
Lineage: Bacteria
Description: partial 16S ribosomal RNA
Rfam family: Bacterial small subunit ribosomal RNA
Source: RNAcentral
GACAGAGGAGGCAAGCGUUGUUCGGAAUCACUGGGCUUAAAGCGCGCGCGGGCGGCCCGUUAAGCGUCUUGUGAAAUCCCACGGCUCAACCGUGGAACUGCAGGGCGAACUGUCGGGCUUGAGGUCGGUAGAGGUGCCUGGAACUCUAGGUGGAGCGGUGAAAUGCGUAGAUAUCUAGAGGAACGCCAGAGGCGAAAGCGGGGCACUGGGCCGAUUCUGACGAUGAGGCGCGAAAGCGUGGGGAGCAAACAGG